Molecule: non-coding RNA, 66 nt
Filed under: Sus scrofa (pig)
Lineage: Eukaryota; Metazoa; Chordata; Mammalia; Artiodactyla; Suidae
Source: RNAcentral
CGUGCGCGCCGGCGCCGGCGCGCCUCCGGCCGGGGGCGGGGCCCGGGAGCGCCGCGCGCGUGCGCG